CAUUAAGAAUCUAAAUAGCAUUAACCUUUGAAGUUAAAGACUGAGAGUUUAAACUUUCCUUAAUGA
Molecule: transfer RNA, 66 nt
Filed under: Pteropus alecto (black flying fox)
Lineage: Eukaryota; Metazoa; Chordata; Mammalia; Chiroptera; Pteropodidae
Also listed under: 1 other name
Rfam family: tRNA
About the family: Transfer RNA (tRNA) molecules are approximately 80 nucleotides in length. Their secondary structure includes four short double-helical elements and three loops (D, anti-codon, and T loops).
Source: Rfam by way of RNAcentral